This is a long non-coding RNA of Cervus elaphus (red deer), 1591 nucleotides long. RefSeq lists it as uncharacterized. NCBI's taxonomy places the organism in Eukaryota, Metazoa, Chordata, Mammalia, Artiodactyla, Cervidae. The record is from RefSeq and is a predicted model, not a curated record. The transcript is spliced from 6 exons.
GACAACCUCAGUUUUGAUCCAAACCAAACUCAAACAACAGCAGCCACUGGAAAUCAAGGAAACUUCACUAAGAAUUUAACAGAUCAGCAAAACACCGCCUCCUUCCCACUUCAGCAUGAAUGAAGUUCAAAUAUAGAGUGGUCUUCAAAGCAAGUUAAAAAGCUCAAAGUAGAAUUCCUUCUGAAUAUGUUAACAGAACUCAUGAUCUAACAUGAUGACCAUAAAUACAUCGGCUUUUGGGCCAAGGCAGCACAGUACAACUUUGGAAGAAGGACCCUAAGGUAGCAUUCUCCUCAAUGGCAGUUUUUCACUUAUUUGCUCAUCACUGCAAGAAAGGACUUAACCUCUGGCUGCCUCCCUUUACAGUAUUACAUAAUCCAUUCUUCACUGAGGGCCCAACCCUAGUUGCUAGUUGCUUAAUUGGAUGAAGAAAAUUUUAAAUCUUGGACUUUAAAUUGUUUAAAAGGCUUAUCUGUGUGGCUUAGUGUCAUUCCCCUCUAUGUUGGUAAAUUCAUGCCAAAUGUGUUUAUUUAACAUGAUGACUUUUACAUGAAGUAAUAAGAUAAAGUCUUCAGCCACCUAUCUUGCUCCUACUUAGUUCUCCUUGUUUUAGGAAUAGGAAACCCAGUCCCCUGUUUCCCCUGGCUCUAAAUAAGCCCAGAGCAAUCCCUGAAAGCUCUUCUGUGGGACAUACCAAGACAGUGUCUCACACUCUCUGGAGUUCAUGAUGGAAACGAGACAGAGAUUAGAAAUAUGUAGACCCUUCUCUUUGUCUGUCUUCCAGACACCCUGUGAGGGCUGGUAAAAGUGUUCUUAUUCUCCAAAUAUUCACUGGCAAUGAACUUGUGUAAUAAAAUUAUGUUUGGGGUUUGUAGUUGGUUCUUUUAAAUGAACAUCUGUUAUUCUCUUUCAGUUGAAAGUUUCUGAACACUGGGCAGGGCAACUUGGCUUCCUCCACCACCUCUGCAGAGUGACAAAUGGAGCCUGUCGUCUGUCAGCGGCUUGUUGAUUGGUUGACCAGUCACCAUGGUCUCCCACAGCUGUUUUUCCUCUGAGAGUGACCUAGAGGAAUAUGCAGAGUUACGUUUUGAUAGUUGUCACUGAAGAAAGGAAAUGAACAUAUAUUGAGCAAUCUCUUCAUGCCAGGACUCUGUUUAGGUCAAUUCUUGAUGAGAUCUACAUAUUUCUCUUUAACUUCUCAACAUACAUUUGGGAAGCCAAGUCUAAAACUACUUGCUUUGAAAGGACUCUACUUGGAUGUGUUGUUGGACAUGGGGGAAAGUAGGAGGUAAAUGUGGACAGAGGAUUUGACAUUCAUUGUAGCUGCAACCAGUAGGGAUGAUUCUCUAGAGAACCAUGUGGAUGAGAAGCAAUUCUUCUAGAAGUUGAAACAGUUCUAGAUUACAUGCUGAAUUGUCUACCACUUUACCAAAGACAUAGUAAAAUACAUAAAUGUUAUUUUUCUUCCUUAAUUCUAAAUGAAUAUAUGUGUAUAUAUGUCUGUGCGCAUGUAUAAUUCUGAGUAUGUUAACAAUUCUUAUUUUCUCAUAAAAAUUAAAUGAAAUUUCAAUUUUAUUAUUAUUUUUUACUU